This 177-nucleotide ribosomal RNA is filed under the name uncultured bacterium. RNAcentral describes it as "partial 16S ribosomal RNA". It matches the Rfam family "Bacterial small subunit ribosomal RNA", at positions 338 to 529 of the family's 1533-position model. The record is from RNAcentral.
CCUACGGGAGGCAGCAGUAGGGAAUAUUGGACAAUGGGCGAAAGCCUGAUCCAGCAAUGCCACGUGAGUGAUGUUGGCCUUAGCCUUGUUAGGCUCCCUUACCCGAGAUGAUAAUGACAGUAUCGGGAGAAUAAGCUCCGGCUAACUCCGUGCCAGCAGCCGCGGUAAUAAUCACUA